UACGAAGGGGGCUAGCGUUGCUCGGAAUUACUGGGCGUAAAGGGCGCGUAGGCGGCUUAGUUAGUCAGGCGUGAAAAUUCCUGGGCUCAACCUGGGGACUGCGCUUGAUACGGCUAGGCUAGAGGAUGGAAGAGGGUCGCGGGAAUUCCCCAGUGUAGAGGUGAAAAUUCGUAGAUAUUGGGGAAGAAACACCGGUGGCGAAGGCGGCG
Molecule: ribosomal RNA, 209 nt
Filed under: uncultured bacterium
Lineage: Bacteria
Description: partial 16S ribosomal RNA
Rfam family: Bacterial small subunit ribosomal RNA
Source: RNAcentral